GGCUUAGGGUUUUGAGGAUGUUGGAGAAGUUGUUGCUGGACAUAUCAAAGGCCCUUUUGAGAGUGGACAUGAGAUGGGGAGGGAGGCCAUUGGUGGUAUGGUAGUGAGGUGGGAGUUCAGGCAAGUCAUCAUGUGGAAGAUGGAGUUCCACAAAUUCAAUGCAAUGAGAAUAUUUUUGGGAGAGUUUAGGCUUGAUGGAGCUGAGAUUUACAGGCGUGGAACAAAUAAAGAUGUGAAAAUUUCUCUUGGUGGUCAGCUUCUUGGCUAGCUCUAGGUAGGGAGAUAUAUGGCCGUGAGCUAGCCAUGGAAGCAUAAGAAUAGUAAGUUUUCUUUGGUCAGAGUAAACCAUAUUUUGUUUUCCUUUCACUCUUUUGCUUGAGGUUGCUCGAUUAUAGGCUUAUUGGUAGUUUUUUUGUAGCUAGCUCUAUGCAUAUAUAUAUAUAUAUACACACACAUUCAUGGGAAAAGAGGCUUGGGGAUGGGAAAUCAAUUGAUUUCCUAUGUUUGGUAAAGUUCGGGUAUGAGAAAUCGUUGCUUUGCACAUGAGAAAGUAGAGGGGAAAGUGAAGCCCUCCUCCUUCCUUAGGUUUUGUUUUCCUCCUCAUGGGAAAGUUUGGGAAAAUGAGCUAAUAUUAAAUACAUAUUUUUCAUGACCAUAUUAUCCCCAUUAAUAAUUUAGAAUUACAUAAAUGCAUUCUAUUUUUAUUUGAUUUCAUAUGGGUAUAAUUGAAAAAUUAAACAAAUUUUGUUUUACAUUCCUACACAAACCAAACAUGUGAAAGGAAAUAAAGUGGUAUUUCUUGGUUACUUUCCCAAGAUUACCAAACAUAGGAAAGGAAUCUCUAUUUCCCAUCCCUUAGAAAAUGACUUGGAAAGUAAUUUCUCCUCAAAUUCGUUCCGUGAACCAAACGGAACCUGCAUAAUAGAAGUUCCAAAAAAACACGUGAUGAUUGGAUCAUGCAUAUGUAAGUUCCCGAGUGAUGAUUGGAACAAGUUCCUAAUGAUAAAGACUCGAAACAAGAAUAGUUUAAACUUUCUUCUUUGUUUGGCUUGAUAUAAGACGAAUGCACCAAACAAACCGACUAAUUGCUGGCACAAUAUAAAUUGGGGCUACAAUUACCUAAUAAUUAGGUACUAAGGGCUACAAUUACCUAAUAAUAUCAACUUUCAUUAUACAGAUUUGAGAAACAAAAAGUUCAACUUUGAUGACAAGCGAUAUUAAAGGAGGGCGUAAUCAAACUUAGGAUCUUGAGUGUAGAAAUAAAUACUUUUAACAACUUGAGCUACAAGCCUUUUGUAAUAUUAAUGAUAUUUUAAUUAUACGUUUGAAUAGUUCGCUUCCUUCUCUUUUAUUUUCAUUUGUUUAUAUUUAACUCUAAUUUUAUUUAUAUUUUUGGUCAAGGUAAAAAGACUUUGAAUCUCUCUCCAAUGAUUUUCACAGCCGAAACUCCUUUAGUUUCCACAAAUAUUUUUUAAUAUUUCAUGCAUUUGUAAGUUUCCGACUCGGAUGGUUCAUGUAACCAAGAAGUUUAAACUUGUUUUUGCUUGUUCCGCCGACGAAAGCGCAACAAAAGGACAAACUACAACCAAUACUUCUAGUAUCACCAGUUCUCAUUGAAUUUGUUGCCGUGAAUGUUUAGGAUUCUGCCCAAACUAGUAUUUGCGUUUCUGAAUUGUUUGAAAACACAUAUGAAAUUAUGAUUUCUCCUCCCCAGAAGACAAAUUGACGAAGAAGUAUCAUGAUUUUGAUGACACAAAUUAGAAUCCAGGGUUUUCGAAGUGCCUAAUGGACAACUAUUAAUUUAGAAAUAUAUAUAUUUUUUUCGCAAUGCAGAAACACAUAAAUCCCAAGUUUGAAUUCAUCCUAUUUUUGUUUUUGUUUUUUCCUUUUUUAACCCAGAAGAAAAAUUGAGUGCCACUCUGCUAUGUAGAAUGCAAGUUUUAGUUUAGAUUUUUUUUUCUUUUUAGUCUCUUAUUCUACAUUUAGAUCUCAUAUAUUUACUCGCAUUUUAUUAAAUCUAAGUCAUUCAAACAAUCUGACCACUUAACAAAUUACAAGUACUCAAACUUAAAAUCAGAUUGGAUGGACAUGAGGCUUACACUGAUGAUUCUACACGUGCUGAGAAUAGUCCUUUUAUUUCUUUAUUAUUUUCUUGGUCGGGACUCGAGAGACAGGUGUAGUGUAGCGAUGGAGACGAGGCCCGCAAGACAUAAAAGUCUGAAGAAGAGAAGCGUGAAAGCUUCAUUUAGACAGUUAAGUGCAUACGUAACGUAAAGAUUCAAAGACUAUGUCCCUCUCCAAACAGGGAAAGAUCUGAGUUGAAAGCAACAAACUACAGUCACAAUAGGAAAGCAUCUACAACGUAAAGAAAAUAAGUUUACCAGAAGCAUCGGAAAGAUCUAGAGUCUGAAGAAGAGAUACUGAAGUAAUUGUUCAUCGACUGAGCUUAAAUGAAAUAUUAACUCUUUGUUGUGCCAUAAGCACAAGAUCUUAAGAAAAAAAUUCAAGAUAAACCAUAUAAUAUUUUCUAACCCACAAAAUAAUAUAGAAAAUAAAUGCAAGAACAAGAGAAUAGCAAGACACAACGAGGCUGCUUACAAUCAGUGUAAAUGAGCAAACAAAUUCACCAUCAACAAAUUAGCAUGCUUAUGAAGUGUUUUGCAACCUCACAAACCAAGGCGCCAUAUACACCAAAUGACUCUCACUGAAAAACUAAACAAAGAAACACACUCACACUAAUGAAAGCAACGUUACAAGGUAGGAGAUUGAAUAUUACAUUUACAAUACACUCAUAAGUUACAAAAACUAAUUACAAAUAUUUAGCGCAUAGGUUACAUAGAACUGAAAGGGUGGAAUGAUAAGAGCUAUGGUGGUCAUCCACCAACUCAUGCAUUUACAACACCGCCUCUUGAAUGUCCACCAUACAAUACAAUGAUAUAGUUGCGUCAUUAAACACUUUGCUUGAAAAACUAUAUGGGACAAAACUUAGGCUACGGGAAAAAGAGUGCAACACAAAUAAUAUUGAUAUCACAUUUGUCUCUCCUACGGAAUGAGCUUUGGUGAUGUUUGUAUAAAAAUUGCGUACAAACCAUUAUUGGAAGAUUGGGCUAGAGUGGGCUUUACCCUAGUGUUGACUUUGGAAAGAGACAAAUUAGGCUUAGUUGUGUAAAUUCAAUCCAAAAAAAAAUUAAAUAAUAGCCCACAUCUACAGCCAAAUACUUUAAUACUUUAAUUACUAAAGUUUUUUUUUCUUUCUCUCUCUUCUUUGGUUUAUUCAGCUUUUGAUUUGGCUCAAAUAAUGUUUAUAUCUCUCUUUGAUUUUGUUUUUUCAAAUUUAUUGAUGUUGCUUCUUUUGAAAAUUUUGAAAUAUGGACCCUCCCUAACUAAACCACUCCAUUGAGCAAAAGCCCUUGAGCUUCAAAUUUAUCUUCGUCUGAGCCUCUGAAUUUUGGUUUUUUUUAGGUUUUUUUUGUUUGUUGUAGGUUUCUUUGUUCACAUAUCUCUCUAAAAAUAGUAUUUUUCUUAAUGAAUUCUGAAAAUAGUUUUUAAUUUGAAGGAAAUAUACGGAAUUAGUAAAAAAGUAUACCACUUUCAUUAAUCUGAAGGAAAUAUUGCUUUAUAUAUAUUUGUUUAAAAAUAGGGCUUAUAAUUGAUCUCAAAAAAAAAAAAAAAACAAAUAGCCCACCCCUGUAAAUAUUCCUUAGUCCGCCAUUGCAUGGCAUAAUAUUUGGUAUGCUAUGCUAGCAUCUCAUAAGCUCUUCAAGAGACCUGAAUUUUAUGAUAACUUCUUAAAAAAUUUGAAUACAUUUCAACGAUAUUAAACUUGAAUUUGAACUCAUAAUUCAAUCAAAGUACUCAUUGAGGCAAUUUAGAUCAUUUUCAUUUUAAAAAAAUUGGGUGCACACAUUGAGCUUCAUGCUCUUUACCUUCUUAGAGAUUUUAUUUGAGGAAUUUAUAUUGCAUCACAUAUUACAUCUCUUAGGAUUUGUUCUUAUUAUGUAUUCUUUAAGAGAUCUAUUCUUGCAAUAUGCUUCAAACACUUCAUAAUCUUUAUGAAUUUUUCAUGUAGAUUUAAGGUCUCCAUGAAUAUUGAGAUUGAAACAAGGAGUAAAAGAGUUAAAAGUUUAAGAAAUUUUUUCCCUGAUUAUUUUGUAAUUAUAAUGUUGGUGAAAAUCCAAUUUCCUUUCUAGAAUUUGUGAAAUUUGUUAUUUGGCUAAGCUAAAAGUAUAAUUUUGACAAUAAAAAGCAUAUGAAAGUUUCUCUUUGGUUGGCUUCUUGGCUAGCUCUAGGAACGGACAGUGUGGCCAUGAGAUAACCAUGGAAGUAUAAUAAGAAUGCUUGGAUGCUGUGAACAAUCCAUUUUCUGACUCUUUUUCUUGAGGUGGUUGUUUUCUUAUGGCCCAUCAGAGUUUAUGGUCGACAGAUAAGCUUCAAACACAUGCAUUGGUCGUGUCAGUUGCGAUAAACUCUUCCCAACAAUCAACAAUUUCUAAGGUAAUAUCAUCAUUCAAUCAUGUGCUGAAUUUAGAAUUGUUUUCAAAUCAAGGAUUUGUUUUGGAACUCAGAUUUUAAAACAAUUAAAAUUUAAUUGGGAAGACUUUUUGUUUAAAGGAAGUUCGUUUCAAUUCAAAAAAUAAUUUUUCAGUUUUUCAACUCAAAAGUCUUCUCAGUUUUCUUAUUUUUCUUAUUGGCGAGUUUCUUGGUUAACUCUAGGAAGGGAGAUAUGUGGCCAUGAGCUAACCAUGGAAGCAUAAGAACGCUGACCAUGCUUGGAUUUUGAGAAGACUUCCUCUUUUUUUUUUCCCUGACUCUUCUUCUUGAGGCGGUGGUUGGCUUAUGGCCUCAUAAUAGUUUGGUGUUUUUGGAGAUCAUAUGGUGAUGAUCUGAUGGAGAUGAGUCAUAGUUUGUGCUAGUGCAUACGUAAUUCCAAUUUCCUGAUUCAGAUGGGAUAAACUCUUCCAACAAAUUAAGACUCUUAUCAUGCAUACACAUAAGAAGUGGAAAUUUGCUUCUGUCUUAGUUUGGCCUUGAUAUAGGACAGCUCAUAGGAAAGCAUCCAAAACAAUAUUCUUUUUAUUUUUUUUAUUUGAAUACAAGCGAUAUUAGGAGUGUGGGGAUUUGAACACAUGAUUUAGGGUACAGGGUAAUGCUCUUAACUAUAUGAGUUACAAGUCCCUUGCAAACAGUCUGAAAUACUAAAAAUAAAAAAUAGAUGCUCAUCCAUAUGCACUGUCAUGCCCCAACCCUUGGAUUUACAAAACCUUGUGUUAAGACGUGAUUCACACCUUAAUUAUAGAAUUUAAUAAAAACUAUAACUAAAAUGUGAAGAAAACAUUUAAAUAAAUAAAAUAAAUAUUUCACAUAGAAUAUUCAGUGGAAAUGACAACAUGUGAAAUCUUAAAAAUUUUACAUUAUCUUACAAGUUGGCGUGACUUGUGGAUAUUGACUUACUUUCCUUACACACCAAGAAUUCCUAUUAUAAUUGUAAUUGAUUUACUUUAAUUCAUGAUUUCCUACUGUAAAUAGAUUUAAGAAUUUAUUAUUUACUUGCCCAUUCAGGUUUCGUUGUAUUAUAAAUAUGACCUCCUACAAGGAGAAGAACAUACAGAAAAUUCCCACAAACAAAUAUUCUCUCAUAGUUUUCAUAUUUUAGCAUGGUAUCAGAGCGGCAAUCUUGGAAUUGCUGACUCUAGUUUCAAACCCCCGCCGCCGCUAUGGGGGUUGAUGAUUUUUUCAACCAUCAUGGAGGUAGCACCAUCGACUCCUUCUCUCAUUCUCAACUAACCAUCGUUGAGUUGAGUGCCCAGAUGGCUCCGCUCCUACAGAUGCAGACUUUGACCCCAAACCCGAUCCAGAAUCAGGAUCUUCUUUCGACAACCACGACCCCGAUCUCGACUAUGACAACGACGACCCCGACCCCUACUCUGAAGAUGACCCCGACCCCCACUCCGAUGACCCCAACCCCGAAUUUGUCUCUGAUUCAGAACCCGAUCCCGAUUUCGACUCCGACUCCGGCCUCGACUCAGGCUCAGAUUUCGAUCCAAAUUCCUACUCAACUUAUAUCCUAUGCAUCUUCCGCUGCACAGAUUAUGACUUCUAGACUAACGACCCCGACAUAUGGACCAGAUUGCACAUAUUGUGGUGAUCCGAGACACACUUGUGAGACUUGUUUUAAAUCGCAUGGCUACCCCGAUUGGUGGGCUAUUCUUACAGAUCAAGGACAAUGCACCAGUAAUGGUACUGGUUAUGGAUUCCAUACUUCCGAUAAGAUUGAUUCCAGGAGCUGGAUAAUUGAUUCUGGUGCAACUGAUCAUAUGACGUUUGAUCCUGAUGAUUUUCUGAAUACUACACAACCUCGACGAACUUGUAUUGCAAAUGCCAAUGGUGUUACUUAUCCUGUGACAGGGGCUGGCACUGUUGCACUCUCAUCCUCUCUCACACUGUCUAAUACUUUACUUGUUCCAUUUUUAUCCACUAAAUUGUUGUUAGUUAGUCAGCUUACUAAACAAUUGAAGUGUUGUGUACUCAUUUACCUGAGUUUUUGUUUGCUUCAGGAUAUUCACACUAAGGAGAUUCUUGGUCGUGGUACUAAGAGAGGGGGGCUAUAUUAUGUCGAUGACUUCAGUUCCGGCGUGCCUAACAGUGUGACACAUCCCUUUGAUAGCAAACAAAAGCAAAUUUGGUUGUGGCACCUUCGAUUGGGACAUCCGUCUUUCAGUUAUAUGAAGCAUCUUAUACCAGAUUUAUUCUUAGGUUUCAAGGACUCCGACUUCACAUGUGAUACUUGUAUUUUGGCUAACAGUCACCGUGUGCCCUACCUGUUGAGUACGAACAAGUGUACUUGUAAGAUCCCACAUCAACCAACGGAGAGGGGGUGAUGUGCCUUAUAUAUGCACACCUGCAUCCAUCUAGCACGAGGCCUUUUGGGAGCUCACUGGCUUCGGAGUCGUAGGAACUCCGAAGUUAAGCGAGUUGGGGGCUAGAGCAAUCCCAGGAUGGGUGAUCCACUGGGAAGUUGCUCGUGAGCUCCUAGAAACAAAACCGUGAGGGCAGAGAGAGGGGCCCAAAGCGGACAAUAUCGUGCUACGGCGGAGUUGAUCCCGAGAUGUGACAAUUUGGUAUCAGAGCCACUCUGCCGUGUGGUGCGAAUGUGCCGACGAGGACUUCGGGCCCUUAAGGGGGGUGGAUUGUAAGAUCCCACAUCAACCAACGGAGAGGGGGUGAUGUGCCUUAUAUAUGCACACCUGCAUCCAUCUAGCAUGAGACCUUUUGGGAGCUCACUGGCUUCGGAGUUGUAGGAACUCCGACGUUAAGCGAGUUGGGGGCUAGAGCAAUCCCAGGAUGGGUGACCCACUGGGAAGUUGCUCGUGAGUUCCCAGAAACAAAACCGUGAGGGCCAGAGAGGGGGGCCCAAAGCUGAUAAUAUCGUGCUACGGCGGAGCCGAUCCCGGGAUGUGACAAUUGUACUACUCCAUUUACGUUAAUUCACUCUGAUGUCUUGGGACCUUCGCCUAUCACUGCUCCUUCUGGUGUUCGAUGGUUUGUCACAUUCAUCGAUGAUUGUAUACAGAUGACAUGGCUUUAUUUGCUGAAGAAUAAAAACGAAGUGUUUUCCCGUUUUCAGUCCUUCCACAAACAGAUGAAAACUCAGUUUAAUGCUCAAAUCCAGAUUCUUCGCUCAGACAAUGGUGGAGAAUUUGUCAAUCAUGACUUUCAGACUUACUUCCAACAACAUGGAAUUAUCCAUGAGACGACUUGUCCUCAGACACCACAACAAAAUUGUGUUGUUGAACGAAAGAAUUGACAUCUUCUUGAAACCGCCCAAGCACUUCUGAUUGGCGCUCAUGUUCCUCGCUAUCACUGGGAUGAUGCUAUUGUCACCGCAGUUCACCUGAUCAACCGCAUGCCUUCUGGUGUAUUGACCUUUAAAACUCCCUUACAGGUGCUUGCGCAACACAGACCUCUGCUCUCUGUUUUGGUACUCACACCCCGAAUCUUUGGAUGUGUGGCUUUCGUUCAUCUCCACAAAAAUCAACGUAGCAAACUUGAUCCCUGUGCGCUUCGUUGUGUUUUUAUAGGUUAUGCCACUCAUCAGAAAGGCUACCGUUGUUAUCACCCUCCUACCCAACGAACCUAUGUCACUUUGGAUGUGACCUUUCUGGAAUCUGAGUUGUUCUUCCAUGACCCAUCAUCCAAUUCUACGCAUCAGGGGGGGAUACGAAGUGAAGAGCAGAAUUGAAGCAACUUGGGAAAUAAAGAAAUUUUCCUCUGUACAGAAAUGAUUAAUCAUCCUGAGUCUGGAGCACGAGAUUACUCUCUGUCGAAAAGCAACCAAUCGCCCAUUCAUAGCGAUCAAUUGCCUCACCUACCUGAUCCAUGUGAAGAUAUUUUUGAUCCGAGUCUCACACCUACAGACAAUACAGAACAACAAGAUGAAGACUCCCCCUCUAACUCAACAGUACCAACAGACCAAUCUCCUGAGAAUAUCCUUGAGGUAACUACUCCUACUAGAUUUGUGCAUUUAAAUGAUUAAACUAUUGGAUAUCAAUUACCUUUCAGGGAAAAUCGUGGGAAGCCAUCAAACCGUUAUGCACCUGAUAUUGGCAAGACAUCCAAGUAUCCAAUUGCAAAUCAUGUAUCCACUGAGAAGCUGUCUGAACAACUCAAGGCUUUUGUGCAUCAGUUGUCUGCGAUCCAUAUUCCAACCAAGGUCUCUGAAGCAUUAAAAUAUCCUAAGUGGGUCCAAGCUAUAAAAGAGGAGAUGAAAGCUCUUGAGAAAAAUCAGACUUGGACAUUAGAGACUAUACCUCGAGGAAAAAAGACUAUCAGAUGUAGAUGGGUGUUUACUAUAAAACACAAUGUAGAUGGAUCUAUCGAGCAAUACAAGGCAAGACUUGUGGAAAAAGGGUACACACAGACAUAUGGUAUAGACUAUGAAGAAACCUUUGCUCCAGUUGCAAAGUCAAACACCAUCAGAGUCUUAUUGUCCCUUGCAGCUAAUUUGGAUUGGCCACUACACCAGUUUGAUGUAAAGAAUGCUUUUCUACAUGGCGUACUCACGGAGGAGGUGUACAUUUACAUUCCUCCUGGAUAUAAUACUACUUAGACUGGAACAGUUUGCAGGUUACGAAAAGCAUUGUAUGGAUUGAAACAGUCACCACGUGCAUGGUUUGGACAGUUCACCAUGGCAAUGAAGAACAAUGGUUCAAACAGUGCAACUCAGAUCAUACUCUACUCUUGAAACAUCGAAAAGGGAAGGUAACAACAUUAAUAAUCUAUGUUGAUGAUAUGAUUAUUACUGGGAAUGAUAAACAGGAAAUAUCACAGCUACAAGACUAUCUGGCUACGGAGUUUGAGAUGAUGGAUCUAGGUGGACUCAAGUAUUUCUUGGGAAUUGAGGUGGCUCGAUCCCAGCAAGGCAUAUUUCUCUCUCAAAGGAAAUAUGUCUUGGACUUGUUGACAGACACAUGAAUGCUAGAUUGUAAACCUGCGAACACUCAUAUUGUUCAGAAUCAUCAUCUUGGAGAAUAUCAUGAUCAAGUUCCAACUAACAAAGAAAGAUACCAAAGGUUAGUAGGAAGAUUGAUCUAUUUGUCACAUACUUGACCAAACAUUACUUAUGCAAUGAGCGUUGUCAGUCAAUUUAUGCACUCUCCAAGUGAAGACCACACGAAUGCAGUUCUUCGGAUACUUAGAUAUUUGAAGUCUGCACCUGAAAAAGGACUUAUUUUCUGAAAGCAUGGUCAUAUAAAUAUUGAUGGUUAUUCAGAUGUAAUGUAACAGAUAGAAAAUCCACAUCCGGUUACUUAACAUUCAUGGGAGGUAAUUUGGUGACAUGGAGGAGCAAGAAACAGAAUGUAGUAGCUUUAUCCAGUGCAGAAGCCGAGUUCAGAGGCAUGACUAAAGGAAUUUGUGAACUUCUUUGGUUAAGAAAGUUGCUUACUGAACUUGGGUAUAAACCUACAUCCACAAUGAUUCUCUUUUGUGACAACAAGGCUGUUAUAGCCAUUGCACAGAAUCCGGUUCAGCAUGAUCGUACUAAACAUGUUGAGGAGGAUCGACACUUCAUCAAACAGAAGCUUGAGGCUAAAAUGUUUCAGUUUUCUUUUGUGAAAUCCGAGGAUCAAUUGGCGGAUAUUUUGACAAAGGUGAUUUCCAGUAAAACAUUCCACAAUUCACUGGAUCAGUUAGGCAUUGGCGAUAUCUAUGCACCAACGUGAGGGGAAGUGUUGGCGUGACUUGUGGAUAUUGACUUACUUUCCUUACACACCAAGAAUUCCUAUUAUAAUUGUAAUUGAUUUACUUUAAUUCCUGAUUUCCUAUUGUAAAUAGAUUUAGGAAUUUAUUAUUUACUUGCCCAUUCAGGUUUCGUUGUAUUAUAAAUAUGACCUCCUACAAGGAGAAUAACAUACAGAAAAUUCCCACAAACAAAUAUUCUCUUAUAGUUUUCAUAUUUUAGCAAGAACUACUCGAGAGUUUACUAAAAGAGUAGUUCAGUAUUCAUCCACAAGCUAUAUACACAAUACACUCUAUAGAUAUGCCAAAAUCAUCGCAAGCUCUAGAUUUUAGGUUCGAUACCUGCAAAAUCUAUUAGAAGGGUGAGUGAAACCACAGUUUAGUAGGGACAUAAACCUUUUCACGGUAAACUGAUAUAAUUAAAUUAAGUGAAAAAUAAUCACACAGCCAAAUAUCACAUUAUUAAUAACAAUGCAUGAAUGCUCUUCAUUUAACCCGUUAAUUCAUAUAAUUAGACAAGCUUCACGACCCAUACCAUGCUUAUACCACUUAGUCCCGAAUGCCAAUUUAUAUGAAUUAACGCCCAUUUCAAUCAUCCCAUAAUUCCCAUUUUGUUAGUCAUCUUGUCUAACUCCCUGUUGCCAGUCCUGAAUCACCAAAAAAAAAAAACCAUGUGCACUAUGGGAUCCCUGAGUACUAGUACCUGGCAAGAGUUAGACUCAACUACACAAAAGAUCAUUUCUAUUACCCUCUUAUCCACCAUUAUUUUCUCAACUUCAGAAUUCUAGCCAAAUUCCAUGACAUGAUAUAAUUAAAAUUAUGCCUUCACAACAAUGUGCCCAUUUAAAACAUCACUAAUGCACAUAUAAUUAUGCCCACAUUGUUCAAAUAGUUAAGAGUACGUAAAUACCCAAUACAUGGAACGUCAAUCAAACAGUACCACGCAUAAUAUAAUGCUCAAGAAAUUUAAUUAAAUCAAUCUCUGUAAAAGGCCCCUAAGAAACCCCUGCCUUGAUACUAAAGCUUUUGCUAGACCUAUAAGGUGUUUUCCAAUUUUCCACCGCAUUCACAAACUCUGUCUUCUACUUUUUUUCUUACUUCUCUCUACCACUAUUUCUUUCUCGUUUUCUUUGUUUUCACUUGUUGUGCAACUUAAUGUCCUAUAUAUAUACAAGGAACAAGUCGGCAGUAAGUGAUUUCCUAUUGGAUGGUGUAUUCGGUUGUUAUAAACUUACUAGUAAUAGUUAUCAAUGUAGUUGCAGAUGAGGAAGAAUGUUUUUGUGACUCUUCCAAUCCCUCUAAUCCUAUUUCUUAUCUUCUUGGUGAGUUGAUAGCCUCGAUACUUAACAGAUUUUAUACUUUGACACGUAUUAACAAGAACUAUUUUAAAAACAUAUACAUAUAUAUAUAUAUAAUAGAAUAUGUAUAUAUGUAAUACACAUAUUUAUAUAUAAUAAGAAUAAUAUAUAUGUAAUAAGAUAUAAAUAUUUAUUAGAACAGUAUAUAAAAUAAUAUAUAUCAUUCUUAUUAUAACAAUAAUUUUAAUUUUCCCAAAAUAAUAUAUAUUUAAAAAUAUGUGGUUUCACAUGCAUGUCCUUUUUGCUAUAGACACUAUUACAAAAAUCGAAAUAGACAACGGAAAACUACCGUCGUCUGGAAAGUUUUCAAACAGUCGUGAAAUCGACUGUCGUCUCUUUUACAUAAAACAACGACGGCUAUUAACCAACGUCGUUAAUACAUUCCACGUAAAAAACUAUUAUAAACCGACGUGUAAUUACUAUAUAUAUAGCCUAAAAUAAAAUCUUCAACAACCUUAGACGACGGUUUUAUUAAAACUGACACGUCUAAAGAGUGUUACAUGUCAAGAUCAAAACAAGAACCGACGUACAGAUAAUUAUCCACGUCCUAAUUGAAGUAAAAUAGACUUGGAUAACCUAGAAACCGUCGUGGUUAACAUAUACUACGUUAAAUUAACAAAGGCACUUACGUCUAAAAAGUAAAAGACAACACGCGCACAAAGCAACAGACGUUUAAAGCUUAGUACAUGUCAAUAGCCGCUCAAUAACCGCAGUAAAAUGAAUUAACCACGUCCCACAUAUGGCAGAACUGUUGCUUAUGUGAUUAUCCACGUCGCGGAGUAGUAGAACAAAGACGUUGUAACCAUAUUCCACGUCUGUUUCUUGUGAGAAUUGUCGUUUAAAUUAUACAAAGAAGCCCCUUUGACAGAGUUAGACGUUGCUCUUGCUGUAGAACCGACUUCUAACAGGUUUAAAAUGACACAAUAUUACUUAAUACUGCCGUAACAAAUCAUAUCCACGACUGCUGUUGUCAAAGACUGACGUUACAAAAAAUAUUGAAGGUGUUGACAAAAAAGAACCGACAUGGAUUAUGCAUUCAACGUCGUGUGGUCUAAAAAUAAAGGACGUGGUUAAUUUUUUCUCUACGUCAAGUGGAUCCAAUUGCCUGAUGUUGUAAUUCUUUACCAUGUUGGUUUUUAAUACAUGAUGAUGUGGUUGUCCUUUUAAAAGUCGCUUGUUUUACCCUCCUUGACGUGUGUAUGAUAUGAGACGUCAAUUGUUUUAGACUAGCUGACGUGCAGAAAAUCUGUCACGACAAUUAAUGCAACUGAAUUGCCUCUAUUUCCCCCAGACGACGGUAGGUUUUAAGUGUGGAAGUAGUGUUUUACAAAAUCGUAAGUUGGAGUAAUCUACCAUCGUGUUAUUCGAGAAUAUACCACGAUCUUUGUUUUGUACUCGGUCGCUGAUGUUUAUACUACUUAAUAAACUGACAUGUUUUCAGUUUCAGACGGCGGCUUUUGUUUCUUUAUGGUCUUUUGCAUUUUUUUUCCAUGACAUUUUUGAAAGCCUAAUGUUGGUUUUAUUUUAGAAAUCGAUUUUUCCCCUUUUUUUACUGGACCGUCGUACUUUACACAUUUAAUCAAUUUUUUUCAAUUUUUGAUUCAUCGUGCCCAAAGCCUACAUAACGAAAAUGUGAUCAGAAUUAAAAUGAUGUACAAAGGUAUUAAUUAAUGUCAUACAAUUAACUGAAUAACUAAUGUCAUACACUACAACAAUCAAUCAAUCCAUAUAUCUUCACACCCAUCUUUAAUAUUUUCACUCCCAAACUCACCCACUAGGUCAUCAUAUGUGUCAACAUUUGGUAUCCCUCUAGUAAAUGUCUCACACUCAAUUCUAAUAUCACCUAGCACAUCAUCACCAAUAACAUUAUUAUAUUCUCUAUUAUGCAUUGAUAACACUACCGACCAACCACGAUGCAUUGGGUCGUCAGCAUAAAAUACUUGUUUUGGUCAUUCCUAUGUCCAAUUUUACUCAAAUCUACAAAGGUGAAUCCAAGUUCAUCGACAACAAGGCCCAAAGUGUUAUCUAUCCAAUCACACCUCAAGACAAGGAUUCUAAACUUUUGGUAGUCAAGGUCCCAAAUUUCUUGAAUAACACCAUAAAAACCCAUAUUGGAGACAAUAGAGUUUUUAUCCUUAGCACUAGCAACUUGCAUAGUAUGUGCAAGUAAAUAAACUCCACUAUUUUGGACAGUUCGCAUAUCAUCUUGUGCCUUGGUGUUAAAUUUAACACCAUUAAUAAGAUAGCUCCUAUAUGAUGGCAUUGCCAUGCUUGGACUAGCUGCUAGCCACCUCAAAUUUUAUGAUACGCCAUUAUGCUCUUCCCCAUUAAGUUCACUUUGAACUUGCAAAUUAAUCGUAUAUAUCCUAAUUCGAUCUAACAUAUAAAAAGGAAGAAAAUUAAAAGUUGAAUAUGUCAUUCAAUAACAUAUAUACUUGAAAGUGUAGCCAUUGAAUGAAAGUGCUAUUGUGCUUAUCUUGCAGCCACUUUGUUCUCUUUCUAAAUAUUGGAUAAGUGGUCUUGAUGUGGAUCAUAUGUUCCAUACAUUGACACGAAAAAAUCAAGCAUUACGGUCCCUUGUAUAUAAGAUAACAUAAGGAAUAAUAAUAUUUAAAAUGGCUCUAUAUGAAAAAUGGAACUCAUGCGUACUCGAUAUAAGGUAGGACUUCCUCAGUAUUCUCCAAGACAUAUAGAUGUGUCUGGUUCAAAAAACCCGAUCACCUAAGCUUACUGUGCAACCAGAUAAUGGCUUUGAAACUCCCAUCUUCUAGCUUGAAGGCACUCCAACUGUACUAACAUCAGAUAAAUGCUCGGUGCAAAACUCUACAACUUCUUCAGCUAUAUACCGCUCAAUAAUGCAACAUCCGGGACGAGUACGGUUCUGAACAAACCUAUUUAGCACUUUCAUAUGUCUUUCAAAUGGAUACAUCCAUCUAAAAUAUACUGGCCCAUGUAGACGAACUUCUCUGACAAGAUGUACUACUAGAUGAACCAUGAUAUCAAAGAAUGAAGGGGGAAAGUACUUCUCAAGCAAACGCAACGUAACUACUACAUCUUCUUCCAAAUUAUCUAGCUUGGAAACAUCUACUGUCUUUGCACAUAUAGCAUUGAAGAAGAAGCACAAUCGAGUUAUUGCAUACCUUGCAGGCUUCUCCAAACAGAACGAAUUGCCACAGGGAGCAAUUGUUGCAUCAAGGCAUGAAAAUUAUGAGAUUUAAGGCCAAGAAGUCUUGAAUAUUUUUAAGAUACAAGAUUUUUUUAUAUUUGAACAAUAACCUUCAGGGACUUUCAUACCAUAGAAAGAAUUGCAAACCGCUCUCUUAUCUGCUCUUGACAAAUUCUAGGGCCUUGGAGGCAAGCGAGUACGUCUUUCUCAAUACUCGGGUUGCAAAUCAUUUUUGACCCCCAUGUUCAAUAAAUCUAACCGAACAGCAAUCUCAUCUUUAUUUUUUCUAGGGAUCUCCAGCAAUGUACCAAUGAUACUAUCGCAAACAUUCUUCUCAAUAUGCAUAACAUCUUGGACAUGCCUCAUAGGAAGGUAUUUCAAAUACUCGAGAUCAAAGAAUUUUGAUUUCUUAUUCCAACAAACUCUGUCACCAUCAUUCUCAAAAACACUUCCCCCAUUUUUCGAGCCCCAUAUGUAAUUAAUAUCUUCAACCAUGUCCUAUUCAAGUUAAUGGUUCGGGAGGCGUGCCAUAUUCAAGUUUUCCAUUGAAAGCUGCACGCUACCUCCGACAUGGAUGAUUGAUUGGUAACCAUUUUUUAUGACCAAUGUAACAAAUUUUGGGGCCAUUUUCAACCUGUGACUAGGUGUAUCAUCGCCGCAUAUUGGACAAGCUUUAUAUCCUUUAACGACACUGUAACACCCCGACUCUAAAUUAAUCCCUUAUUUAAUUAUUUAAAGAAAAUUACAAAUUUACCCUUAAGAUAGGGGUAUUUUGGUCAUUUUCUUACCCGAAGAGAGUUUGGGGCAGUGACUAGUAUUUUUGGAUAGGUCGUACUGAGACGAGUUCAUAGACACGUAGUGGGCUCGAAUCGAAGUUGUAACGAGAGAGAUAUGGUCAAAAGAAACCCAAUUGCACAAUCAUAAUUAUUUCGAAAUGAGAUUUUUAUAAAAAUCAGAUUUUUUUUUCUCUCUCUCUCUCUCUCCUCGUCGGUCUCUCUCCCUCUCCUCGAAACUCCGGCCAUCGGCCACGGCUGUGGACGGGGCCGGUACCAAAAUGACCGAGGCGUUGUCCUCCUCUAAUCCCAGCUAGGUCCCGCCGUCAGCCGCCAUGGUUUCGCCGGAAAAUGGAGAAGAAGCGGCCGGCGUCGUCCGAAGUUCUCCGCCGUUGAUCUCCCUCUUCCGGUCACCGAUUCCGACGAGUGAGGUAUGGUUUCUCACCUACUUUUCAUGCUCUAGCUGCCUGCUGGGUAUGAUUGGAUUGAUUUUUAGCGUAGGCAAUUCGAUUUUCGCAUUGAAAUUCGGCUAAUUUUGGAAUCACGAUUCCGGCUAGUUCUGGUCAGUUUUUGGGGUAGAUCCAAGAACAAAAGUGGCUCCAAAUAGGGUGUUAUACCUAGGGUAGGAGUUUGGAGCCAUGGUUUUGAGAUUUUCCGGCGAUACGUAAUCGCUUUAGACACCCAACGCUGCCCGCACGUGUGGCAGUGCGUGGGCGAGGGUAGUGAAAUAGCACUAUGUCUCGAUGAGAUCCUUAGGUUGUCACGAGUGCGUAGGAUUUCGCGGAUCUCAAUUCGGACGUCGUUUGACUAUCGAACGGAUUUUCGUAUAUUGCGCGUCAUCCGGGUUCGAUAGGUUGGGACCGUUGGAUGGUCUCGAAUAAAAUAUAUGUUAAUCUAGGUAUUUCUAGGAUCAUGUAGGAAUUCACGGAUUAUAAAUCGGAGCCCCGGAUAUUCCGAAUAAAUAAUUUAAAGUUUAUGUUUUAUAAUAACCGUCACAUCGUGCGAUCGUGAGCGAUCCGACCGGCCGAUCUGGACCAAACUUACAGAACGAGUGUCCUAUACCUUGAAGAACCCAUAGGAAUUUUCAGAUCGAAAUUUGGAGGUCGUGGGCCCCGUGGGCCCAUUUGACUAGGGGUAGGGUAGUUUGACCCUUAGUUGACCGUGAGUCUCCCGGAGUAAUCUCACCUUUCCAGGGGGAUUAUCGGGUGCUAGACUGUUGUUGAGGUUUACACGAUAUUAGUAGUAAAUUAUAUAUUUAUAUACAUUUGUAAAGGUAAAAAAUAAGUCCAGAAUGUCAGUUUGAAGUGCUUUACGCACUACCUUAGGUACCUCCCCGGAUUUUAGUUACACUACAAGUACCACCCUAUGAAAGUUAGGUCCCACGUGGCGUAGGUUAUCCGGCGUGCGGACAGGCCCUAUACGUGGCAUUGGUAGUAUCGGUGUAUGGGGAGAUUACGUGAUAAUAUGUUGAGGUCACACGUGGCGUAGGUUAUCCGGCGUGUUGACAGACCCCAUACGUGGCGUUGGUUGUACCGGCGUAUGAGGAGAUAUUGUGAUAUGAUAUUCAGGUCUCGCGUGGCGUAGGUUAUCCAGCGUUGAGACAGACCCCAUACGUGGCGUUGGUUCUACCGGCGUAUAAGGAGUUUAUGUGAUAUUAUGUUGAAGUCGCGCGUGGCGUAGGUUAUCCGGUGUGUCGACAGACCCCAUACGUGGUGUUGGUUGUACCGGCGUAUGGGGAGAUAUGUGAUAUGAUGUGCAGGUCUCGCGUGGCGUAGGUUAUCCGGCGUUGAGACAGACCCCAUAUGUGGCGUUAGUUGUACCGGCGUAUGGGAAGAUAUUGUGAUAUGAUAUUCAGGUCUCGGGUGGCGUAGGUUAUCCGGCGUGUUGACAGGCCCCAUACGUGGCGUUGGUAGUACCGGUAUAUGGGGAGAUUAUGUGAAAUACAGAGAAAUGAAAUAAGGUAUUGCCUAUGUGUGGAAUUGGGUUUUAAGGAAGAACUACGUGUGGCUUGAUCCCUCAGGGAGGGUACGUAGGCAGCCUAAGGUUAUUAGGUGUAGCCGCGGACAUAGACGUGAUUGUGUUAGGAGGUUAAAACCUCGUAUGUUGAAAUUGAGAAAAUUAGAUGAUGUAUGUUGAAAUUUAGUAGUCGUAAUUUAUAUUUAAAUUUAUCGUUUGCCUUGUUUAAGGCAUGAAUUGAUUUGCUAGCAUGCUUGGUAGUUGAGAAUUAUAGAAAGGCCGAAGGCCGUUUAUGUGAAUUGCAUGGAAUUAUAUUGUGCAUGCUGCCAGUUGUAGUUAUUAAAUGUGUUUUUAUGCAGGUUGAAAUUUUGGGAAAUGUCCAAUUUACAGGGGAGACUCUGCCGAAAUUUCGGCAGAAAGUCUCGGUCUUUAGUAAGUGGGCCUGACAUCGAGGUGAUGUCGGGGAAUCCACAGGAUCCGCCUCGAUUUUUGGAAAAAUCGGGGCGGUUCCUUUCAGACACAACCAGAUAAGUUCUCAUAGGCAGAAAAAUCAUUAAUUGUUCACAGUAAUACACCUAUGAGUGUAAAGUAAUCUCCUAUGUGUGCAUCAUACACUCCUUUAAUCCCAUCCCACAAAGAUUUUAAAUCAUCAAUCAGAGGCUCUAAGUAGACAUCUAUAUCAUUUCCAUUCUAUUUAGGACCAGAAAUCAAUAAGGUCAAUAUCAUGAACUUCCAUUUCAUGCAUAGCCAUGGUGGGAGAUUAUAUGUAACUAAGAUAACCAACAAUUGUAUCUGCUACUUAAAGAACUGUGGGGAUUGAAUCCAUCAGAUGAGAGAGCCAAUCUCAAGUUUCUUGGCUCUUUACUGAACUCGGGCCAUUUAUCAUCAACAAGUUUUUAAGACGGGAAAUUCGCUGGAUGAGACAUAUGACCGUCAAUUGCUUUUCUAGCAACAUGCCAAGUCAAACUCUUAGCUGUCAUAUGUGAUUGAAACAUCCUUUUAAACCUUGGAAUUGGAGGAAAAUACCACACCACCUUCGCUGGCACACUCUUUUUCAAGAUUGAAUCUUUGCAUUCCUUCCACCUUGAGAUACCACAAGUAGGACAAUUAGUUGAAUCUUCAUAAUCAUUCCUAUACAAGAUGCAGUCAUUGGGACAUGCAUGGAUAUUCUCAUAACUCAUCCCUAAAGGAGAUAAUGUCUUUUUUGCCUCGUACAUAGAGGAAUAUAGUGUCUUUCCUUCUGGAAGCAAAUCUCCUUGAAGUAUCAAUAAUUCUAUAAAACAAACAUCACUCAUCCCAUGUUUUGCUUUCAAAUUAUAUAACUUCACCAAAGCCGACAACAUCGUGUACUUACUGCAACCAGGGUACAAGGAUUGAUCUCAAUCCCCAAUCACAUUGGCAAACUCAUAAGGAUCAAAUCCAAUAUCGCCUAAAUCAUUAUCAUCCAUCCCUACUUCUUUAGAAACAAAACUGAACCUACUUUGCUCAUCUUCUUCCACAUUUCUACUAGCAUUAGUAGUCAAUUCCCAAGGUUCUCCGUGCCAUGUGCAAAUCUGAUAGCUUUAGUCAAUUCCAUUAAAGUAUAAGUGGUCCCUCAUAAUUCCAACCCCAAACAAUCGAAUAUUCCCACAUUUAACACAUGGACAACGAAUAUGAGUUGUAUUUCCAAGAUUUUCUACAGCAAAAUUCAAAAAUCCUUCCACCCCUAACUCAUAUGCCUUCGGUCUUCUAUCCGCAUGCAUCCAUGACUUAUCCAUCUCACACACUAUAAAAUCAUAUAUAUAAUAAAGUGAAAAGACCAGCAAUGAAACACUACUUUAUUCACAUAGCAAAGAAUGAAUUGAAAAAAAAAAUUAACCAAGAAUCAGACGACGGUUUUUACAAAAAAAAUCGUCCUGUAACAGAGGGUCAGACGACGGCAUAUCUAGUUAUCGACGUCUUUAAGCUACCCAAACCCAGAUAUUUGUAUUGCUUUUUGAAGAACCGGGUUCUGGGUUCUGGUAAACAAAAGAUGACGGUAAAUGGAGAAACACCGACGUAUCCUAAAACUUGAGACGACGGUUUAUUUCACCAACCGUCGUCGUAGUUUACGAAAAACAGAAGUCUAAAUCUCCCAUCCUCAUUCCUUUUCUAAGAACCCUUAACAAAAUGCAAACAUCAAAAUAUAAAAGAGCCAUAUAUAGCUCCCAAUUAAGAAACCAAAGCUACCAAAACAUAUAUUAAUAAACCAAAGCUACCAAAAUGAACGAAAACAUUUAUGGGUUUUACAAACUAAGAGAAUAUUGAGAGAGAGCUGAGAGAAUAUACUUACAUGGAUAUUGAGAGAGAGCUGAGAGAAUAUAACAAAUGCUUGAGAGAGAGCUUAGAGAAUAUACACAAUGCUUUGAGAGAGAGCGAAAAAUUUAAGACAAAUUUAUGUUGAAGAGAGAGAAGGAAAUAUUUUAGGGUUAAAGGGAAAUUCUGAAAAUUUUAGAUCACCGUCAAAAUUUUCAAAGGACCGCGUUUUUCAAAGACGGCUAAGGAAAACUACCGCCAUUGUAAAUCAUUUUACUACGACGGUUGAGGAAAACUACCGCCAUUGUAAAUCAUUUUUAUGUCGCCUCUAUAAAAACCGACGUCUAAAAUAUUAAAUAAUUAGAUUUGGUUUGCAUUUCGUGGGAUUCUAACGUGCGUAAUUGACCAAAAAGAGCGAGAGAAAACCAGCGUCGUUUCUAUAAAACCUAAACCCUAAACCCUAAACCCUAAACUCUAAAACCUAAACACUGAAAAAAUUAACCAAAAAUUGCUAUGGACUCCUUACAACAAUGCCUUCUAUAUUAGUAGGCUAAAAUCGGGAUUAAAUAAUUUUGAAUUUUAUGACCACCAAUGGAUCACAUAAACCUUAGGGUUAUGUUUAUGGAAAGUAUAAGGAUUAUUGUGUUUUGUCUCUAAAUCUUUUUUACUUUUGUUAUCACUUGUAACUUUGAAAUCUAAAAUUAAAAUUUUCAGGCCUUUAGGGGGGAGAUAUUGUCUCAAUGUGUUUAUAGAAUUUGAGACUGCGAAGGUUCUAGCUGAUUGACUAAGGAUGAGGCAGGAUGGAUGGAAGGUUUGCUUGGAGAUUCUACCUUUGUCAGCUCUUCUGGUUGACAUGUUGUUUAUUCUGCCUGAGGAACUACUUCUAGAUUUUUCCCUUUUCUAGCAGAACUAGUCUCUGGAAGUACUUGUGUGUCAUCCUUAUUCUUGAGGAAGACGCAGUAUUGCCUUUGAACUCUCCUCUUUUGCAUUCUGGUUAGCUUCAGAGUUGGUCUUCGGCUUUUUCCAAUAGAAUAUCAUCUACCUUCUAUGAUAGUUGCAAAGGGCUUGUCAUUUCCAGGCAUCUUAACUGGUAUUUCCUUCUUUGGCUGCUCUAUUAUUCUCUUGUUGCGUUGGGCAGGCCUUAAAUAGUCCUUCUGUCUGGCUCUAUCUCUAGGUGGAGCCGGAACUAGGCCUUGUUGGUAUGAUGUUCCAAUCCUGUCAAAAACACAAGGUGUGGGCUGACUUUGCCUAACCAGAGUUACCUCUAACUCACUUUCACAUUUGCACCUGUUGCACAAAACUACCCCAGCCGAAAUGGUUGCUUUUGGUCUUCAAUUAGCCUAUCUUUGGACUCUUCUGCCUAUGCUGGGGCUAACUUUUGCUGUUAGUUUGCCUUUCUUUUGUUUUGGCCAAUUUAAGUUGACCAUGUUGACUUGAGGUUGGGGAAAAGGGUCUGUUGUUAUCGAAUGAGGUUUCUCAGCCAGUUUUAGCCUCCAUGCUGUUAUUCCUUCCUGUAUGACGUCCCUGAAAACAACACAACUAUUGGUGGAAUGGUCCCAGGAGUUAUGCCAUCUGCAAUACUGUCUGCCCUUGAGUUCCUCUAGCUUGGGCAACUUGUAGGGUGUUUCUAUUGCCUUCUGUCGCAGCAUGUCAUCAAACAGGGCAUCAACCUUGGUUAAAUCGAGGGAAUAGACUUUGUUAUGAGCUGGUUUGUUUGGAACAAACCCUCUUGUGAAUGGUGGUGGCUUUUGGUCCUUUGGUGGCUUUGUUAAAGCCUUGCAACUGAUGAGAUGUUUUAAUUUCCCCAUUUCUGCCACUGCAACUUCUCUCUCCUCCGAGCUUUCUAUGCCUUCUUCUGAUUCUACCUCAACAAGAUUUACUGAAGAGGAUGGGGUUUUGUAAUAUGUGCCUUUGAAAGAGUUCCUCUUCUAUUGUUCUUCCCUGAGCAGCUCCUUGUAUUUAGAUGCUUUGUCUGCUAGUUCUGCCAGAUCUCCAAACAGCAUCCCAUCAAAUUUUUUUCUCAGAGAGAUUUUAAGGGAGAUUUGAGCCAUUUGGAUGAAGUGCCCUUCCUCCAUAGGGAUUCAAAAUUUCAUUUUGAGCUUUUUGAACCUGGUUAUGAAGUCUUGGGCAGGCUCAUCUUCCCUCUAUUUCCAGGUUUGAGGGCAGCAAGAUCACUGAUGGUGACUUCUGGCUGAAUCCUAAAAUAGUAGUCAUGGAAGACAUUUUCCAUCUAUUUCCAGGUUUGAACAGAAUUGGCUGGUAAGCUAGUAUAUUAGAUGAAGGCUUGUCCAGAGAGAGAAUUUCGAAAAAGCCUUAGUUUUAACAGAAGGUUAUUUUCUAUGGCUAUGCACUGGAAAGAGAAUCUGCCUAUAUGCUUAACUGAUGAAGCAUGGGUGUCUUCUCCGUUGAACAAGGUGAAGUGUGGUACCUUAAAGCCCAGGGAUAGAGGUAUUUGAUCGAUAUAAGCUGGAUAAGGCUUUCUGUAGGUGGGCCUUUCUCCUCUUCUGGCCUCAGGUUCCAUCAUCUCUCUGAUCAUUCUAUAAAGUGCCCCCAUGUCAUUCAAAGCAUUGACAUGAUGCGGGGUUCGCCCCUGUUCUGGCUAGUUGUGUUCAAUCCUUUGUUCUACUUUAUAUGGCCUGGGCAGAACUUCCUCCCUAUGCUCUUCCUCUUUUUCGAAAUCUGGAUGAUUCCUUUAGUUUGCCCCCGGUCUGUUUUUGUCAUUGUUGGCAAAGGGUUUAACUCCUACUCUACCUCUCAUGCCACUUGCUAGUGGAGGGAAUGGAUUGGGGUCCAUCCUUCUAGGUCUGUAGGGCAACACAACUGGUUGCUCAGGCAGAAGUGCCAAGGCCUGAUCACGUGGGGCCACUAGUUGUGGAAUAGGUGGAGGUUCUGGCUAGUUCUGAGGGGGUCUGAACUGGUGCAGAGCCUUCUGGAUGAACUGAAUCCUCAUGUUCUUGGAUGGGAAGGGCUCCUCCCCUCUGUCCAGCUUGGAUUUCUCCAUGUCCUGGUAUUCCAGCUAUCUGUGUGAUGAGAGGCUUCUCUUCAUAUGGCCAUGCCAGUCCUGGUAGAGGUCCAAAAGGGAGAUCUAGCUGCUGGACCACCAUGUCUAGGUUUGGAAUUUUGGCAAUAGUAGCCUCACGGUCCUUCCUGAACUGCCUGUUGACUUGCCAUUACAUCAUGGUUGUCAUGUUGUUUAGAGUAUCUUGGCUCAUUUGUGCUGUGGCUUCUUGCCGAAACACAGCCUCCUGUAUCUAGUUUAACCUUCUGGAACCAGACAUGGAACGUCUACUCGUGGUACUGCCAUGGGCUGAUUACCUAGCAUCACUUUCUUUUGACUCAAGUCCUUUUCGGAGAGCUGCUUGAUCUCUUUUCAUGGCAUAGCGUGGAUUCUGGCUAGAACUUCCAAUAUUCAUAUACUAGAGGAUUUUUCUAGAAAUAUAUGUAUUGAGAAGUCCCACUGGGCGUGCCAAAUUGUUCAUCCGUUUUAGAUUUGUUCCUGUGAUGGUAGGGUAAAGUUCCUCAUUGACUUGAAAACCAUUGGUGGUCAAUAAGUCAACUUUCUUUUGUGUACAAAUGUGCCACUGCUAGCAAUAAAAACCCUAGCAGACUUCUUAAAAAUAGAAAACUUGUGCCCAAGUUAUUAACUUCUAAAUAAGCGAUUGUGAAUUUGGGCGAGGAAUAUCUCCCAAGUAAGUUCUUUUCUUUGCCUCAGAUUGGUGAGGACUUCACAAUUUUUCACAGUACAAAACUGGUAGUUCUAGCUAGAAUAAAUGAUAAGAAAGUGAACUGUUUUCAGGCAGAACUACCUUUUACAAAGCUUAAAAAGGAAGACCAACUCUAAAAAGACAAAAAGAGCUUUUGGACUUCAAUUUCUGCUUGGAUAAAUGCUUCUGAUCCGGGCUGGACUGGGUAUGUUUGUGCUGGACUGGACUAUCAACACCUUCAACUGUCAAGUUUUAGCUGUCAAUGAAUACCAAUGUUCGAGUGUGGCAAAGCUUCAAUCUAUUUCAAGCCGUGCAAGGCUUUUUGAACGGACAGAAUUGGAACCUCUUCAGUCUGGAAGGGGUAGAAGUGGCUGAAUUUGGUGAUUACUGAGCUGGAACUGCACUGUAGUACCUGUUCUGCUUGAUCAGGGCUCUCCAUAAAUUUGUUGAGGUUUUAAUAUUGGUAAAACCCGAAGCUUAUGUUGAACCAACUUUGUAACGAGAGAAAUCUUGCUUUGAAUGACUAUUUCUCUGAAACUAAACAGAAGUUAGAGAUUCUGGAAUAUAGCUGACUUGUUUCUUAUGGCUCAAUGAGCUUUUGGUUGCUUCAGUGUUUUGAAGGCUUUUGAGAUCAAGUGAUCAUUUUGAGUUUUUAUUUUUGAUUGAUUUUUUGGCUGUCCUUUUAUCUGUUCACCUCAUCUCAUAUUUAUAGAAUAUACUGGAGUGUGAUUUCUAAUCUUUUAAUAAUGGGCGGCAAAUCUUUUAAAAGAUCUUUUUUUCUUUUUUCAAUGUCAUAAGAGAAGGAAGCUACUAUUCUGACAGAGAAAGGUUGUCAACAAUCAUCUUUCAAUUUUUCUAUGUUCACUUUUUGUUCUUUGUAAAGAGAAAGAACACAAUCUACCAUGAUGGUCAGUGUGCUUUUCCUGUUGAACAACUCCCUCGUUCUCUACUUAUCUCUUGAAAACGUAGUCUGCUUAUCUCUUGGAAAGACCACCUGAUUUGGUGCAGAGCUUCUCUAUAUAUAUAUAUAUAUAAAGGGAUUUUGAUCUUCUUCUUUUGGCUGAAAAAAUAGAGAAGUCUUUCUGUAAGACCUGCCUUCAUUAAUUUUCUAUCAACUUCUCUGUAAUAGUUGAAAAUUUUGACUUUUCAAAGCCAGGUAUUCACGUGGGGUUGUUUAGAAAAGAUCUGUUGAUUUUGUCAAUCUUUUAGGGUAGAGAUUAAAUAGCGUAAAAAGGCUGGGCUAGUCUCUUUUUCUUAGUAGAUAAAAAGCCCAAAUAUUUUGUCUCACUGCCCUUUUCUGGAAAAUAAAUGGGCUGGGUGUGUUGGAAAUUGGCCCAAUCUUAAGAAAGACUCUGGUGGCUGCCCAAAAUUGACAUAGGCUUUUCUUGAUUUUGGGCUGGGCAUGCCAAAUUAGGCCCAAACAAUGCCCCUUAAGUCUGAAUUGUUUUUGGAAUAGUUUCAGACUUAAUGAUUUGGCCAUUAAUUUGUGCGCGCCAUUUCCUUCUGUUAGCCCACAUCUGCCACGUCUGCCUAUUAUGAUCAAGACUUCGUGGGAAAGUGGGCAGUUACUAGCUAGUUAUUAUCAGGUGGCGUCUUGUCUUCUUCUUCCCACGAUUUCGAGUCUUUCUAAGAAAUUUAAAAAGACCUCAGCUCCUGUUUACUCAAAACCUAACUUCUUCAGACCUUGAUUUUCCUCAGUUUUCUCAGAAUUUUUACCCUUUUCUGCGAUCAAACCCUGCUUCCUUUCAGUUUGAUUCCCCUAUCCUAGCUCAAAACCCGAAAAUGUCUUCUCCAAAAAAUCGUGCCCAGACUUCUUCUUAUUCUGUUCCUCCUACCUACAUUACUGGGGCCGGUGUUGAUAAGCAUGUGAUUGAAGUCCGGAGCAAGCUUCAUCCUUUUGCCCAGAACGUUCUGGACAAGAACGUGUUACAUUUGUUCGAGAACACUCUUGUUUUGGAGCCUCAUCGGUUUGGUUCUGUCCCGACUGAAAUGGCAGAAUUGUUUAAAGAAUAUACUGAAGCUCCUCUAUGCUUUCAGAGCUCUUUCGUAGAUUUCAGUUUUAUAUAUAAACUAUCGUGUUUCUCCCUAUAACAUGUCGUUUUUAAGAAUUGUUGUCAAUGUUUUAUUUCCUGCUACUAUAAGACGGCGAUUAUUUAUACAUAUGAGACGUGUAAAUUAGAAUGAGACGUCAGUCUUUGGGAUUUAAAUUAAGUUUUUACGAUUUAAUGUCAUUUUAGUUCAUAUAAGGACAUAAAUGUCCUAACCAAAAAUAUAUUUAUGUACAUUGUCAAUAAAUUAAAAUAAACCUAAACAUUGUUAAAAUAAAUUAGAUCACUUAUUAUUCUGUAAUUACUUGUUAACGAAUUCAGCCCAUUCCAACCUGACUUCGUCAAUAUGUUCUUAUACAUACUGAACUGGUUCCUUUUUCUUAUCAAACUGCAAAUAAAUAACAAAAACCAACGUGUUAUAAAGAUUACAACGACUGCUUUUAAAGAAAAAGUUGUGGUACUAAAAUAAAGAAUUUAUAUCUUAAGUUUUGCCUUUUACCUUCUUCUCAAAUGCUAGGCCUGGAUCAUGAAUUAUAUCUCUCAUGAAAUGCAUCACGUAAUAGCCACACUCUACAUUUGUUGGUUGUCGAGGAGUGCCAUGUAGAUUUUUCCAUAUGACUGAUUUACAUGAUGAUUAAUUGCCUGUGUGAGAGUUAUACAUUUUGAUUGAACUGUUUCAAGAAAAUGAAAAGUGUUAAUGAUAAAAAUAAAAAUCUAAAGCAAAAAUAUUAAACGUCGUGGUAAAUAAGUGAAGACGAUGGUUUUGUUAAAAAAGUGAUGUUGUAUUUCAUUUCAAACGUUGGUAAAUAAAAACCGUCGUUGUGUAGAAUUCUAACGUCGGUGACGAUGAAAAAUGACGUAUAACCAAAAAUUGUUUGUAAAUGAAAGUUGAACAGAAAAAAAUAAAACUUCCUUAAAUGAAAAACACAAACGACGUGGUAUUUCAAUUAAAAUGACGGUUUACAGAAAAUACUGACGUUGUAAAUGAUUUCAAACAUCGGUUUGAAGUUACCAUCGUGUUUUCAUUGUAACGUCGGUAUUAGAAAAAGCCGUAUAUCAUUCAAAUGCAAAUAAAAAAAUGUUAGAUUUUCAUAGAUAAACUUACAUAUUCACUAUAUUUCUCAUGUCCUCGUCAACAACGCGGUUUGGCAAUGAAUCCAUGUAAUAGAUAGUCUCCUUCGCUGGUCUCACAAUUAUUAACACCCAAUGACCCCUACACAUAAUGAUCCAUAUAGGUUAAAUAUACUAGAAAGAAAAAUAGGCAUCAAGUAUAGUUAAGGGGACUAACCUUGGAUUACAAGGCACCAUGUAAAAUUGAUCCCCAUUUGCGUUUUUCAGGCGGUCUGAGAGAUGUUUCAAACGGUAAGAUAACGUUCCAGAUUGAGAGCUGACUUGUCCAAGGUCCACGAAGCCAAUAAGGUUUACCAUAUUUUCUAUUUUUAAAUAGUCAAAUAGGCACCUAAAUAUAUGAAAUUCAAUUAAAUGAGAUUUUAACUUUAAAGAAAGGAAAUGUAUAAUGCAAUCACUGUGGAUCCAAUCUCAACCAUGGAAGGAAAUUGUAAAAUAUCUUCACACAAGAGGAAGGUAUCAUGGUUAAUGCCAAAGGCUUCCUCUGGAAUGUGAAUUCUAAUGGUCUCGUUAAUGGGCUUCAACUUGGUCUCGACAAAUUGAAAUAAGGCUAACAGAGGAGGUGGCAUGUCUAGCUUUGAGAGAUCCUGUUACAACAAAUAAAUAAAGAAAUAUAAGUUAGUUUGUACACUAAGUAAAAUAAACGACUCUAACUAAACCAAUCAAACCGACGUGGUAUAUAAUAUAAUCGACAGUUUCUAGAACAUACUGAAGGAGUAAAGGUUAUAGACGACGGUAAAGACAUAACCAUCGUUAUGUAAAUGUUCUAACGUCGCUGCAUUAUGGAAAGGUCGUCUAAUUAAAAUGCAGUGAAGCCUUUAUUGAAAUACACGACAGUUUAUAAAAUAAACACCGACGUAGUAAAAUACUGAGACGACGGUUAUCAGCAACGUCUAUUUGAAAUUAUAAAUCAGAAAAAAUCAAAUAUCAAAGAUUUUACCGUUUCAUCUUGCCAUUGUUUAGCAACAUCAGCAUCAUUCGUGGGAUUUUCUUCCUCCAAAACAAGGGGUCUCACAUUAGAGCAGCUUGCUUUGUCAGACAUUAGAUUUUUUGGAGUAAUUGGAGUUUUAUUGAGCAAGUUGGGAUCACAGUUGGGAAUUAGUUGACUGAAUUGUUUCAAUAAAAUUUCCCUCUCUGCUCUGACUGCCUCCAAAACAGUUUCUUUUGCCUUAGCUUUAAUCUUUUUGGUUUCUUCUCUCACUGCCUCCAUAACACUUUCCUUCAAUUUGUUAGCAAAUUUUACUCUCUGCUGUCUCGACAAAUUGAAGAAUUGAGUUGGGGAAACCCCAGCUCCAACACCUCUAACUCUCCCACCAUGCUCAGGGGUUCCCAAAGCCAAGGUCAAAAUAUCGUUGCUCUCAGAGACAGCAGAGUGCCCUCGGAAACUUGUUUUUUCAAAUCAUCCUAAAAGUGAGAGAGAGAGAGAGAGAAUGUUAGUGAGUGAACAGAUAGUAAAACAGAUUAAAUAAACAACUAUACAAAAAUAUUAACCGACGUGGUAAAGACUUUAAAAAACUGAAAUCAAUCCCCAAUAGUAACAGGGACCAUGCAGCAACGAUUUGGUUGACAGUAGUAUAGGUUGGAGAUGCUGUUGAUCAUUAGAUACUAUUUUUUUAAAUAUCAAUUCUGUAACAUCCAGACCUAAAAAAUUAAUGAUUUUGAUUUAAAAUUAAAUUUAAAUAAGCAAUUACGAAUUUACCCUUGGGGAAGGGGUAUUUUGGUAUUUUUUUUUUAUUCAGAAAGAGUUUGGGGCAGUGACUAGUAUUUUUGGGUAGAUCGUACUGAGACGAAUCCGUAGACACGCGGUAGGCCUGAAUCGGAGUUGUAACGAAGAAACGGUGACCAAAAUUAGUCCAGUGGCAAACUUGUAAAUAUUUUGAACUUGGGUGUAGAAAAAUCUGAAACUGGCUUCCUCUCUCCUGCGUGCACACGUCCUUCUCUCUCUCUCCUCUCUCUCUCCUCGAUACCAUCACUCUCUGUCUCUCUCUUCGAUUCUCUCAAUUCUGGCCACGGCAAGGGCCGGGACUGGUUCCGAUCAACUCCUCACAAAGCCCCGAACCAGAACCACCACUUUUCUUGGCCGGAAAGCUCGAGUUUCGCGUGGUAAUCUCGACUGGUUUGAACCAGUUUUCCUCCGUCAUUGUGCCGCCGCCAUCGCAGCCCAAUCUCGGUUAAACAAGUGAGGUUUCUUACUCUUUUUCCGAGCUCUAGCUGCCUGUUGGGUAGGAUUGGAUUGAUUUUUUGUCUAGGAUCCCGAUUUUGAAACCUAAGUUUUGACGAAUUUCAAAGUGAAAUUCCGGCCGGUUGCCGUCCUAAUUAGACCUCCCCGUAGUUGAAUAAAGUGAUCCUCGCUUCGAGUAGUAGCUAAGGUAGGAAUGGUGAAUUGCGGUGUGGAGUUUUUCCAUCACUGAAAAUUACUCUACACAUCCACGCGUUGCCAGGGCAUGUGGAGGCGCAUGGGCAAUGUGGUGAGACCACAUUUUAUCCUGAUGUAGUCUCCUAGUCCUCACGUGCGCGUAAGUGUGCUCGAAUUUCAAUUCGAAUGUUGUUUGACUAUCGAACGGAUUUAUGCAUAUUGUUUCUUAUCCGGGUUCAAUAUGUUCGGACCAUUGGAUCGAGUCCAAAUUUACGUAUGUUAAUCUAGGCACCCCUAGGAUCAUGUGCGAAUUCGCGGAUCGUGAAUCGGAGCCCCGAAUGUUCCGAUUCAAUAAUUUGAAGUUUAUGGUUUGCGAUAACCGUCAAUUUCUGACCAAACCUACAGGACGUGUUUCCUAAACCCGUAGUCGGACCUUAGAAUACUCGUUAUGCGUGCACGCACCGGGAACUUGAGAAAAUUAGUAUUUAAUUUGUAAAUUCCGUUUUGAAGUGAUUUUUUAUUAAUUAAGGGUGCGUAUCUCGAAAUAGGUGCUCCAUCACUAGCACGCAGCAGGUAGGACCCUCUUGAGGUCAGGCAGUGUGGGACUACUUGUGAGUGGACAUUUAUUUUAUAUAUGCAUUAUUUUCAAUGAUUGAAAGAAUAUGCAUGAAAUAUAUAUAUUUUUUGGAAUAAAGAUUGAGAAAUUCAUAUGUUGUUAUAUCAGUAUUAUUUAAUUUAGAAUUUGGUUUGAUUUGAUGAUGAGUUAUAUAAAGGUCAAGUUAUUCGUGAUUAAGUCUUGGAUGAAUUUUGGGGGAAUCGGGAAUUGAAUAUUAUGGUUUAUGGUGGGAACUUAUAUGAUUACACUGUGUGGAGUACCAUCCCCUAGUUACUAGGCUUCCCACAUGUGGCGUUGGAAAUUUUCCAGCGUGUGAUGAUGUAGUCUGCACGCAUAGGACUUAGUAUUGGAGCUACACGUGGCGUUGGAAUUUCCGGCAUGUAAGCUAUGGAGUUUCGUCCCCCGGUUGGACCGCUCAUCCCUAGACGCAGGAUAGCAACUGAAAAUCUUGCGGGUUAGCCAAACAAUCCCCCGGUUGGAUUGUUUCCCCGGUACCUAAGUAGUGUGAUAAAUAUUAUGUAUAUUUAUAGAUAUAUAUAUUUCUAUGUGUGUGUGUGUGUGUGUGUGUGUGUGUGUGUGAGUAUAAAUCAGUUAAAGUAUAUGUAGUGGUUGGGUAAGAGCAGUAUAAAUUUUGGGGAUAAAGUUUAUGGAUAGAGUGAUUGAUCUCAAAGGGUUUCGGAGAAUGAUGUUUUUGAUCAUUAAAUAAAAGUUAUGAAUCUGCAUGUCUUGAGCAUUAUUUUUAGACGGUGGGGUUAUUAUGUUGUUUUGAAUGCAAAUUUUGUUUUUCCACUCACAUGUUUUCUGUUUUGCGCCCCCCAAACAGUAGUCGCUCAAGGGAGAGUUGCAAGCCAUGUUCGAGGCCCCGAACUGUGAACAUCAGUAGAUUAGGUUUCGAGUAAUUUCUUUCUACUCAACUGGAUGUUCUUGUAAACUAAAUUCGUUAGAUGCUCUAUUAUUGCCCCUGUUAGGUUUUACUUGUGAGGCCAGAGGCCAUUUAGUUUAUACUGUUGAAUAAUAAAUGCAUGCUGCUGGUUGGGAUUAUAUUGUGCUUAUGCAGGUUGAAAUUUUUGGGAUUGUUCAAUUUACAUGGGAGACUCUAGCAAAAUUUUAGUAGAGAGUCUCGGUUUUUAAUAAGUGGGCCAGGCAUCGGGGUAAUGUCGGAAAUAAGACUGGAUUCGUCCCGGUUUCCGAAGAAUUCGAGGCGGGUCCUGUCAAGUUCCUCCUAUUAACAAUAAUAAAUUAAAUAUUUAUAUAACUGAUAACAGUUCCUCAUAUUAACAAUAAUAAAUUAGUAUUUUGUAUAAUAAACAUGUUUAAUGAAAUUCAUCUUCUUCUAGCAUGUUUAUUUAAAUUCUAAGUUUUCUGAAGAAAAAAAAAAAAAAAAAGGAGAAGGAAAUGUCCUAAAUUAAAUCUUAAAAGUUCAUUUUUUUCUGUCCCUAUAUAUUUUUUACCCAAUUAUAAUUUGAGAAAAAAAGGUGAAUUAACUGUCAUUUCACCUUCAUCAUUUUCAUGAUUUAUAUAAGAUUCUUCAAAGAUCAUUUCCACAAAAAAUUACUUAAAUUCGAAUCCAUUUAACCGUCUAAUUAAAUCGUUAGGACCGUUGAAAUAAAAUUUAAAGUGAGUUUAAAGUGAGUCCUACUAUGUCUCCCUCAAAUAAGAUCAUUUACAGGAUCUGUCGAGUCAUAUGAGAAUGUUUAGCUUUUCGAUCCCAAGAGUUUGGUUCGAUUUUCAUAUAUAUAUAUAUAUAUAUAUAUAUAUAUACAAGUCAAUUUACUUUAAAAAGUUCACCAAAUUUUAUUUUUGGUCUCGGUAGUUUGCUUGAGGGCCUUUUUCUGUCAAUCUAUUUGUUGUGAUUGAAAGAUUUUAUAUAAAACAAAAGAUAUGUUUUUAUCUUAAAAAAUGCUUAUUUUCAGAUCUUUACAUAUAGACAUACAUAUGGCCUGAGAAUUCAAGCAAUAAAGACAUAAGCUGAUGAGCAUUCAUAAUCAUUAGAAUGAGUACUGAAUGGUCAACUCUUUCAAAAUACUUCGGAAAAAAACAAAGGACAAUACUUCCUUCCUUACUCAUAAGAAGGAACUCCUUCUCACCUUCUAUUGUCCCUCAACCACAAAGUAACAAGUGUUCUCUUUUUUUAAUUGUCAAUUUUUUUUUUUUCACUUUUACUGAACCCCUAGCUUUUUACCAAAGCAAAAAACACAAAACAAUAUUCCCAUUGUUUUUUUUUUUCAUUUUGAUUUUUUUCUCAACUUUUUGAAAAAUAACAUUUUUCCUUCUUCAGUAAAAAAUUGAAGUCUUUGUGGUUAAAAGCUAAGGUUUCAGUAAAGGUUUAAAAUAAAUAAAAAGUUUUGACAAUUCAAAAAACAGAACACAUAUCACUUUGUGGUUGAGCCGCAAUAGAAAGUAAGAAAGAAUUCCACCUUACCCAUAAGGAGGGAAGUAUUGUCAAAAAGAAAACAUCUUAAAAAACACACAGAAAACCCACCAUCACUACUUAAAAGAAGUAGAGAAGUCCAACAUUCUGAUUUUUAUACACCUACGUGACGUGAGCAUUCAAUAAUCAUCCUACACAUAUGUUGAUGUGAGCAUUCAAAAUCAUUAGAAUGAUUUAAUUGAAGACUCAACGUACGGACGUCUUUUUCACUUAGAUUCCCUUCCUGUACAAACUUGAAUCAGUUCCUCCACGACCCCAUCAAUCUCUUCAUCCUCUUUCUUGUUCACGUUGUCGCUUAUUUUCAAUGCCUUUUUUCUCACUCCCUCUCCAAAUUUCUCCACAACCACAUCUCUAAUCACCUUUGCGACCUCUUCUCUUUGCAAACUUCCUUCACCUGUUCUCUUAACCUCCACACCAACACCCACCUCCUCCACUAGUCUAGCGUUGAUCGGCUGGUCAAGAUGCAUAGGCAUGGCUAUAAUUGGAACACCAAACUUGAUGCUCUCCAACACUGAGUUCCAUCCGCAGUGACUCACAAACCCCCCAACACUAGAAUGCUGCAGUAUCUUUGCCUGUGGGGCCCAACCCUCCAUUAUCACUCCCUUCUCUCCCACCCUCUGUAAAAACCCUUCUGGUAACACCUCUUCAACCCUAGUACUUCUCUCCUCCUUAGAAAAUCUUAUAACCCAAAUGAAGCUCACUUUGCUAAGCUCUAAUCCGUGAGCUAUCUCUUCUAUUUGCUCCUUGGACAGAAAGUACUCACUGCCAAAGCAAACAUACACAACAGAAGACCUUUCCAUUUUGUUCAGCCAUUUCAUGAUCCAUGUUUCCUCAUCAACUUUUUGAUCCAUUGGCUCUUGAACAAGCGUGCCAACAGGCACGAUCUUCUUCCCCGUUAAAUCAGAGAGAUAAUCAAUAUAUUUUUCUUCAAUCUCGCUGGAUGUCUUGACCAAAAUGAUGUUACAAGAUCGAGCACUGCAUUGCUGAAC
This 33035-nucleotide long non-coding RNA is filed under the name Prunus persica (peach). RNAcentral's name for it is "long non-coding RNA (PPER_LNC002427)". Lineage: Eukaryota; Viridiplantae; Streptophyta; Magnoliopsida; Rosales; Rosaceae. The record is from RNAcentral.